Molecule: small nuclear RNA, 109 nt
Organism: Pongo abelii (Sumatran orangutan)
Lineage: Eukaryota; Metazoa; Chordata; Mammalia; Primates; Hominidae
Source: Ensembl
AGGCUCUUGCUUCAGCAGCCUAUAUAGUAAAAUUAGAACGAUACAGAGAAGAUUAGCAUGGCCCCUGUGGAAGGAUCAUACGUAAAUUUGUGAAGUGUUCCAUAUAUAU